CGGGACACGUGGUAUCCUGUCUGAAUAUGGGGGGACCAUCCUCCAAGGCUAAAUACUCCUGACUGACCGAUAGUGAACCAGUACCGUGAGGGAAAGGCGAAAAGAACCCCGGCGAGGGGAGUGAAAAAGAACCUGAAACCGUGUACGUACAAGCAGUGGGAGCCUCUUAAUGGGGUGACUGCGUACCUUUUGUAUAAUGGGUCAGCGACUUAUAUUCUGUAGCAAGGUUAACCGAAUAGGGGAGCCGAAGGGAAACCGAGUCUUAACUGGGCGUUAAGUUGCAGGGUAUAGACCCGAAACCCGGUGAUCUAGCCAUGGGCAGGUUGAAGGUUGGGUAACACUAACUGGAGGACCGAACCGACUAAUGUUGAAAAAUUAGCGGAUGACUUGUGGCUGGGGGUGAAAGGCCAAUCAAACCGGGAGAUAGCUGGUUCUCCCCGAAAGCUAUUUAGGUAGCGCCUCGUGAAUUCAUCUCCGGGGGUAGAGCACUGUUUCGGCAAGGGGGUCAUCCCGACUUACCAACCCGAUGCAAACUGCGAAUACCGGAGAAUGUUAUCACGGGAGACACACGGCGGGUGCUAACGUCCGUCGUGAAGAGGGAAACAACCCAGACCGCCAGCUAAGGUCCCAAAGUCAUGGUUAAGUGGGAAACGAUGUGGGAAGGCCCAGACAGCCAGGAUGUUGGCUUAGAAGCAGCCAUCAUUUAAAGAAAGCGUAAUAGCUCACUGGUCGAGUCGGCCUGCGCGGAAGAUGUAACGGGGCUAAACCAUGCACCGAAGCUGCGGCAGCGACACUAUGUGUUGUUGGGUAGGGGAGCGUUCUGUAAGCCUGUGAAGGUGUACUGUGAGGUAUGCUGGAGGUAUCAGAAGUGCGAAUGCUGACAUAAGUAACGAUAAAGCGGGUGAAAAGCCCGCUCGCCGGAAGACCAAGGGUUCCUGUCCAACGUUAAUCGGGGCAGGGUGAGUCGACCCCUAAGGCGAGGCCGAAAGGCGUAGUCGAUGGGAAACAGGUUAAUAUUCCUGUACUUGGUGUUACUGCGAAGGGGGGACGGAGAAGGCUAUGUUGGCCGGGCGACGGUUGU
RNAcentral lists this ribosomal RNA (1081 nucleotides) under Escherichia coli. RNAcentral's name for it is "partial 23S ribosomal RNA". It matches the Rfam family "Bacterial large subunit ribosomal RNA", at positions 418 to 1505 of the family's 2925-position model. Lineage: Bacteria; Pseudomonadati; Pseudomonadota; Gammaproteobacteria; Enterobacterales; Enterobacteriaceae. The record is from RNAcentral.